GUCGUCGUGGCCGAGUGGUUAAGGCGACAGACUUGAAAUCUGUUGGGCUCUGCCCGCACGGGUUCGAAUCCUGUCGGCGACG
Non-coding RNA from Ciona savignyi (Pacific transparent sea squirt), 82 nucleotides. The record is from Rfam. Lineage: Eukaryota; Metazoa; Chordata; Ascidiacea; Phlebobranchia; Cionidae.